This 76-nucleotide transfer RNA is filed under the name Propionibacterium sp. RNAcentral describes it as "tRNA-Lys". It matches the Rfam family "tRNA". Rfam says of the family: Transfer RNA (tRNA) molecules are approximately 80 nucleotides in length. Their secondary structure includes four short double-helical elements and three loops (D, anti-codon, and T loops). Lineage: Bacteria; Bacillati; Actinomycetota; Actinomycetes; Propionibacteriales; Propionibacteriaceae. The record is from RNAcentral. RNAcentral also lists the same sequence under 2 other names.
GGGCCUAUAGCUCAACUGGCAGAGCAGCGGACUUUUAAUCCGCGGGUUCUGGGUUCGAUCCCCAGUGGGCCCACCA